Molecule: RNA transcript, 1517 nt
Organism: Diospyros lotus (date-plum)
Lineage: Eukaryota; Viridiplantae; Streptophyta; Magnoliopsida; Ericales; Ebenaceae
Gene name: prolyl 4-hydroxylase 1
Exons: 14
Source: RefSeq, a predicted model, not a curated record
AUAAAAUGUAAUGACGAUCGGAUCGAACCCGCUCGCCUUUCAAUGGUUUUCAGAGCCCCGGCGUCUUUCCUCUUUCUGUGGGCGUCCGACAGUCGUGUCCUGAAACAAACACCGCCUUAACACCAAUUUUUUUAUCUCUCUCUCUCUCUCUCUCUCUCUCUCUCUCCGUUUUCCUUCUUCACGCCCUUCGGGUCCGUUCCCCUGGCUUAGGAAGAAAGCAAGGAAGCACCUGAAAUCUCUCUCUCUCUCUCUCUCUCUCGCGAUGGCUGCGAGUAAGAUGCGAAUUGUGUUCGGAUUGCUUACAUUCGUCACCAUCGGCAUGAUUAUAGGAGCUCUAUUUCAAUUGGCAUUUCUCAGAAGGUUGGAAGAUUCUUAUGGCACUGAAUUUCCUUUAUCUAGAAGACUGUAUCAAAGUCGGAAUUUUGGCAAUCGGCAGUUGUCCACAGGUGUUCUUCCUUGGGCUAAUGACAAGGAAGCUGAAACUUUACGUUUUCGAUAUAUCAAACCUGAAAUAAUUAGCUGGUCACCUCGAAUUAUUUUACUUCAUAACUUUUUGAGUAUCGAGGAAUGUGAUUAUCUUGUAGCAAUUGCGAAGCCUCGUCUUCAGAUUUCCACUGUAGUGGAUACAAAAACUGGGAAGGGAAUCAAAAGUGAUGUUAGGACGAGCUCUGGUAUGUUUUUGAGCCCUGAAGAAAGGAUGUACCCAAUGGUACAGGCAAUUGAAAAACGAAUUUCUGUCUAUUCACAAGUACCAGUAGAAAAUGGGGAGCUUAUCCAAGUUUUAAGGUAUGAAAAAAAUCAGUUUUACAGACCUCACCAUGACUACUUUUCAGAUACUUUCAAUUUGAAACGUGGUGGGCAACGAGUAGCUACAGUGCUCAUGUACUUGAGUGACAACGUUGAGGGAGGAGAAACAUACUUUCCCAUGGCUGGUUCAGGUGAAUGCAGUUGUGGUGGGAAAAUAAUGAAAGGGUUGUGUGUAAAACCUCUUAAAGGAGAUGCAGUGCUUUUCUGGAGCAUGGGCCUAGACGGGCAGUCGGACCCAAAAAGUAUUCAUGGAGGCUGUGAAGUACUGUCAGGAGAGAAAUGGUCGGCUACAAAAUGGAUGAGGCAGAGCGCUACUUCCUGAUUUUGCAGCACCACCAUAGAAUGAUUGGUGGAUGUGAAAUUAAUAUCAGGUCAAUAAUUUACCUUCCCAACUCAUCCAUCCUAUUUCCAGCUGAUUCUUGUUUUCCUCUUAAUGAUACAAAUUGAGGGUCGUGUAAAUCUCAUUUUGACGAGUGCUUUACAACCUGGGGGAGCGCAUGAACGAGGGUAUUGAUUGACUAGGGAGGAGUGUCACUAAUUGGUUAUAUAUAUCUCGAUGAUUAGAACGAGUUAAAAGAGUUGAGAUGAUUGCAGGUUGACACGCAUGGGCACUCAUGCUAGUUGGGUUGUGUGCCCAAUGGGGUAUGUCAUGAUCAUGCACUUCGAAGAAAUUUGAUUGCUUCAUCUAUAUAUAUAUAUAUUAGGAAUAA